UGAACUUGUCAAAUGUGCCCACAUUGAGACUUCAACUUUUGUUAUCUAAGUUAGUCUUUGAAACUCUAAAGUUCAAACACCAAUGUGGGAAUAAAAAAAGUUCAUGCCCCAAUAUGAGAAACGUCUCGAUUGCAUGUCUCAAUGUGGGAACAAUUACCAAGUUGAAGAUCUAACUUAGAUAAAAAAAAAUAAAUUCAAACCCCU
Molecule: long non-coding RNA, 204 nt
Filed under: Gossypium raimondii (Peruvian cotton)
Lineage: Eukaryota; Viridiplantae; Streptophyta; Magnoliopsida; Malvales; Malvaceae
Description: long non-coding RNA (GRAI_LNC009603)
Source: RNAcentral